This 1316-nucleotide ribosomal RNA is filed under the name Nymphalis ladakensis. RNAcentral's name for it is "Aglais ladakensis 16S ribosomal RNA". The record is from RNAcentral. Lineage: Eukaryota; Metazoa; Arthropoda; Insecta; Lepidoptera; Nymphalidae.
AAAUUAAUAAUUAAUAAAUAAUAAAAGAAAUUUUAAUAUUAAAAAAAAAUAAUGGGGGUUAGAGUAUUUUUAAUAGAAAAAAUUAAUAGUUUUAUAGUUAAAUAUUACUGUAAAGGAAAUUAUAAAUAAAUGAAAAUUAAUUAAAGUAAAAGUAAAUUUAAUUUUUUGUAUUUUGUGUAUCCGAGUUUAUUAAAUAUUAAUAGUUUAUUUAAAUAAAUCUCGAAUUUAAAAGAGUUAAUUAGUUAAAAAAGUUAAUGUUGAAUAAUUAUUUUAAAUAACUAAUUUGAAAUGAAAUGUUUAUCGUUUUUAAAUAUAUUUAGUUUUUUUAGAAAAAAAUUUAAUUUUAAAUUUAAAUAAUUUUAUAAUUUUUUAAUUAAUUAUAAAAAUUUAAAAUUUAAUUUUUUAGGGGGUAAGCCUUAAAUUAAAAUUUUAUAAUUAAUAAAAAUUAAAAUUAAAAUUUUUAAAAUUUUUUUUGUUUAAAAAUUUUAAUUUUUUUUAAAAAAUUUUAAUUAAAAUAAAAUUUAAAUAAAUUUAAUUUUUUAUAAAAAAAUAAUUUUUAAUAAAAAAAAAUUAGUAAUAAUGAUAAAAUUAGUAUAUUACCAUAAAAUAAAAAAAAAAUUAAUUAAAAUUAAAUUAAAGGAAUUCGGCAAAAAUUUAUAUUCACUUGUUUAUCAAAAACAUGUCUUUUUGAUAAUAAUUUAAAGUCUAAUCUGCCCCCUGAUAUAAUUAUUAAAGGGCUGCAGUAUAUUGACUGUACAAAGGUAGCAUAAUCAUUAGUCUUUUAAUUGAAGACUUGUAUGAAAGAUUUGAUGAAAUAUAAACUGUCUCUAAUUUAUUGAAAUAAAAUUUAAUUUUUUAGUAAAAAAGCUAAAAUAAAAUUAAAAGACGAGAAGACCCUAUAGAGUUUUAUAAUUAAAUUAAUUGAUUUAAAAUAUAUAAAUAUGAAAAUAAAAUUAUUUUAAUUAUUUUAUUGGGGUGAUAGAAAAAUUAAAAAAACUUUUUUUAAAUGUUAACAUUAAUAAGUGAAUAAAUGAUCCAUUAAUAAUGAUUAUAAGAAAAAAUUACCUUAGGGAUAACAGCGUAAUAUUUUUUUUUAGUACAAAUAAAAAAAAAAGUUUGCGACCUCGAUGUUGGAUUAAGAUAAAAUUUAAAUGCAAAAGUUUAAAAUUUUGAUCUGUUCGAUCAUUAAAAUCUUACAUGAUCUGAGUUCAAACCGGUGUAAGCCAGGUUGGUUUCUAUCUUUAAUAAAAAUAAAUAUUUUAGUACGAAAGGAUCAAAUAUUUGAAAUAAUUUUAAUUAAAUGAAUAUUAAUAAUA